This 253-nucleotide ribosomal RNA is filed under the name uncultured bacterium. RNAcentral's name for it is "partial 16S ribosomal RNA". It matches the Rfam family "Bacterial small subunit ribosomal RNA", at positions 524 to 776 of the family's 1533-position model. The record is from RNAcentral.
UACGUAGGCAGCGAGCGUUGUUCGGAGUUACUGGGCGUAAAGCGUGUGUAGGCGGUGUUCCAAGUCUGUUGUGAAAUCUCCCGGCUUAACCGGGAGGGUGCGGCGGAAACUGGGAUGCUGGAGUGCGGGAGAGGUAAGCGGAAUUCCCGGUGUAGCGGUGAAAUGCGUAGAGAUCGGGAGGAACACCAGUGGCGAAGGCGGCUACCUGGACCAGCACUGACACUGAAGCACGAAAGCGUGGGGAGCAAACAGG